AAUGCCUCUAUUCACGAAUGAGAACCAGAAGGACAUGGGAAAAGGGAAGUAGAAUAAUAGAAGAGAUGGUCAAGAAAAUCCCCUCACCUGCCACAGGUCCCUCAAAAUGUAUGUUUCAGGCUCCACAAGGCUUGAGCUUGCCCCUUCUCCAUGCUGUGAGGGAAAGACUGGGCUGAGCAUGGAUUUGGAAUUCGUGAACCCAGGAUGUGAUGGGAACAUUCCUCACGUGACUCAUUCAUGGUCCGUCAUCUCCCAACCUUCAGAGCAGUGCACAGUCAUCCACAUGGGACAGCUGCUCCAGACCUGGCGGCUGGGACUCACCCUCAAAACACCUUUGACAGGAAUCAGAGCAAAAUGCCAGCCCAGGGAAGACUCUGGAGUUCCUGCGCUUCAGGAAAAGGACAGCCUUUGGUGUUUGGCCCUGAAGCCAUCCCAGGAGGAGCAAACCCAGGAGCAGAGAUGUGGCAGAGGAGAGGGCAAGAGGGAGAAGCCAGCUCUGCUCCUCCCUGACUCCAAGUACACGGGCAAGCUACUGAUGUCUAUGAAGCUCUAUUUUCUGUUCCGAAAAGUGGACAUGAUAAACACUGACCUUUUGGAAAUCCCAUCGGGACCCGCCGGACCCGCCGGACCCACCGGAGCCGCAGAGUCUGUGCGCCAGCGCUGGAAGGGGAGGUGA
RNAcentral lists this long non-coding RNA (676 nucleotides) under Oryctolagus cuniculus (rabbit). RNAcentral describes it as "lncRNA (ENSOCUG00000031252.1)". The record is from RNAcentral. Lineage: Eukaryota; Metazoa; Chordata; Mammalia; Lagomorpha; Leporidae.